AGCAACAAAUGCCCUGCUUCCAGGAAAAGCCUCUAAGCAUCAGGUAACAUCAAAUCGUACCCCAAACCGACACAGGUGGUCAGGUAGAGAAUACCAAGGCGCUUGAGAGAACUCGGGUGAAGGAACUAGGCAAAAUGGUGCCGUAACUUCGGGAGAAGGCACGCUGACAUGUAGGUGAAGUGAUUUACUCAUGGAGCUGAAGUCAGUCGAAGAUACCAGCUGGCUGCAACUGUUUAUUAAAAACACAGCACUGUGCAAACACGAAAGUGGACGUAUACGGUGUGACGCCUGCCCGGUGCCGGAAGGUUAAUUGAUGGGGUCAGCGCAAGCGAAGCUCCUGAUCGAAGCCCCGGUAAACGGCGGCCGUAACUAUAACGGUCCUAAGGUAGCGAAAUUCCUUGUCGGGUAAGUUCCGACCUGCACGAAUGGCGUAAUGAUGGCCAGGCUGUCUCCACCCGAGACUCAGUGAAAUUGAACUCGCUGUGAAGAUGCAGUGUACCCGCGGCAAGACGGAAAGACCCCGUGAACCUUUACUAUAGCUUGACACUGAACAUUGAGCCUUGAUGUGUAGGAUAGGUGGGAGGCUUUGAAGUGUGGACGCCAGUCUGCAUGGAGCCGACCUUGAAAUACCACCCUUUAAUGUUUGAUGUUCUAACGUGGACCCGUUAUCCGGGUUGCGGACAGUGUCUGGUGGGUAGUUUGACUGGGGCGGUCUCCUCCUAAAGAGUAACGGAGGAGCACGAAGGUUGGCUAAUCCUGGUCGGACAUCAGGAGGUUAGUGCAAUGGCAUAAGCCAGCUUGACUGCGAGCGUGACGGCGCGAGCAGGUGCGAAAGCAGGUCAUAGUGAUCCGGUGGUUCUGAAUGGAAGGGCCAUCGCUCAACGGAUAAAAGGUACUCCGGGGAUAACAGGCUGAUACCGCCCAAGAGUUCAUAUCGACGGCGGUGUUUGGCACCUCGAUGUCGGCUCAUCACAUCCUGGGGCUGAAGUAGGUCCCAAGGGUAUGGCUGUUCGCCAUUUAAAGUGGUACGCGAGCUGGGUUUAGAACGUCGUGAGACAGUUCGGUCCCUAUCUGCCGUGGGCGCUGGAGAACUGAGGGGGGCUGCUCCUAGUACGAGAGGACCGGAGUGGACGCAUCACUGGUGUUCGGGUUGUCAUGCCAAUGGCACUGCCCGGUAGCUAAAUGCGGAAGAGAUAAGUGCUGAAAGCAUCUAAGCACGAAACUUGCCCCGAGAUGAGUUCUCCCUGAGACUUUAAGUCUCCUGAAGGAACGUUGAAGACGACGACGUUGAUAGGCCGGGUGUGUAAGCGCAGCGAUGCGUUGAGCUAACCGGUACUAAUGAACCGUGAGGCUUAACCUUACAACGCCGAAG
Molecule: ribosomal RNA, 1372 nt
Filed under: Salmonella enterica
Lineage: Bacteria; Pseudomonadati; Pseudomonadota; Gammaproteobacteria; Enterobacterales; Enterobacteriaceae
Description: partial 23S ribosomal RNA
Rfam family: Bacterial large subunit ribosomal RNA
Source: RNAcentral